Gadus macrocephalus (Pacific cod) is the source of this 1943-nucleotide RNA transcript. RefSeq lists it as uncharacterized. The transcript has 7 exons. NCBI's taxonomy places the organism in Eukaryota, Metazoa, Chordata, Actinopteri, Gadiformes, Gadidae. The record is from RefSeq and is a predicted model, not a curated record.
CACAACUUCCACUUUUGCGAUGACAUGUAUCACUCAUAUAGGCUGGGGUGUGUGUUCCUGUGAACAGACUCAAGUCCUGGACUCCACUGAGACAACACUGAGGUCGAGAUGCUCAUCAUGGGGGCUGUGCUGCUGUUACUAAUUGGUGUGACGGAUGGCGUGAAGACCUUCUGCAACGCCACACAGCCACGCAUCACGACCCCGUGCUUUGGCUCUCUGGGAGGAACUGUGGUGGUCCUGAUGACUACUAGGACCUCACAAAAUGAUACCUUCAGACUGAAGAAGAACAAUGCCACGAUUUUAUCAGAACGCAACAUUCGAUGUUCAUUUAAUGUCAGUACUGGAAUAUUUACUAUAAAGGACAUCGACAGGACAGACAAUGGUACAUACUCAAUGGAAGUACAUAACACAACUGGAAUGCAAGUAGCAUUUACAAAAUGUUAUUUAACUAUUGAAGUCAAACUGUGGGACUCACCUCCUCAGUCGGUUUCCCUUAGCCCCGGUCUCCUCUCUCAAACUGUCCCGGGAGUGUCUGUCCCGGGGACAGCAGAGGGUGUCCUGCUCUGCCGGGGGGGACGGACUCCACUACAGCUGGAGUCUAGACGGACUCCCGCUGAACGACACGCGUCUCCUCUCCGGACCCGAUAGCGCUAGUAACGUCACUCUGGAGGUGGGCCGGUCGGGACUGCUCAGCUGCUCGGUCCGCAACAACGUGAGCCACGCCGCGGCUAACAUCACCUUGUCUGUGUGUGACGGGUUCACUUAUGUGAACUGCACAUCUAAUGGAACACAUAUAUCACAGUGGGUGCACAGAGACAACAAUACCUUAUGCCCUGAGGCAGCGGUCACUGUGGGACCCACAUACAGUACAACGGGUAAGGAGAUUAAAUGGACACAAACCAUUCUGUGAAUCAGACGGGAAAAUGGUCUGUUAACUAUAAAAUAUCUAAAAUAAUACUCAUCAUGUAUAGAGAUAUCAGCGUAUAGAUAUAAAGAUAUCUUUAUAUAUACAGGGCUGAAAAAAUCAUUUAAGGGAAACAUAGCAGGCAUGUUUGUAUGUAUGUAUGUAUGUAUGUAUGUAUGUAUGUAUGUAUGUAUGUAUGUAUGUAUGUAUGUAUGUAUGUAUGUAUGUAUGUAUGUAUGUAUGUAUGCAUGCAUGCAUGUAUGUGCCAGCGGGUGAAAAAUACAUUAAGAGCACUGAAUGCAAGGGGCUUGGACACAGUAGUGGAUUCAUCACAUGACCGAUCACCAUUGUCUCUCAUAGGGUUAAUAAACUGCACAUCUAAUGGAACACAUAUAUCACCGUGGGGGCACGGAGACAACAAUACCUUUUGCACUGGGACAGCUGGGGGAUCAUUGAACUUCAAUAUAAUGGAGCUCGUCCCUAUAAUAGCUGGUUCCCUGUCAGCGAUAGCACUGCUCCUGAUAGUAGUAUUGGGAGUCUACUGCGCAAAAAAGCACAAAACCUCAAAAGACACCACAGACACGGAGGAUGUAACCUACGCAGACGUCUCUGUGCUCCAGCGCCAGGGCCAGCGGAGAGAGCAGGGGGCGGGGGAGGGUGAGGUGGAGUACGGGGAGGUCAAGGUGGCUCCAGGCCCCAGGCGGACGCUGGAGACCAAUGUGGACGAGUGUGUGUACGCUCAGCCCCGGAGGACGAGGCCCUGAGAGCUGUCACCACCCAGAAGGACGCGUAGACCUUUUAAACUUAUUUACUGGCACUCCCAUCGUGGCUUCUGAGCGGCCAAGUCAUUGGCCCCCAAUGUUAUGAUGAUUCAGCAUUCAUUCUAUUUGGACAUUCACGGGGAAAUUUUGGCUAUGUUGACAUUAAAUAAUUUAUUAUGCUUUACAUCACAUCUGCCUUCAUGUUAAUUAUUGUAUUUUGUUAUUUUCAUUAUUUCAUAUCUAAAAUGUUCCUGUAAAUAAAAAUAAACACAUAUACA